CCUACGGGAGGCAGCAGUGAGGAAUAUUGGUCAAUGGACGAGAGUCUGAACCAGCCAAGUAGCGUGAAGGAUGACUGCCCUAUGGGUUGUAAACUUCUUUUAUAAAGGAAUAAAACGAGGCACGUGUGCCUUUUUGCAUGUACUUUAUGAAUAAGGAUCGGCUAACUCCGUGCCAGCAGCCGCGGUAAUACGGAGGAUCCGAGCGUUAUCCGGAUUUAUUGGGUUUAAAGGGAGAGUAGAUGGGUUGUUAAGUCAGUUGUGAAAGUUUGGGGCUCAACCGUAAAAUUGCAAUUGAUACUGGCAGUCGUGAGUACAGUUGAGGUAGGCGGAAUUCGUGGUGUAGCGGUGAAAUGCUUAGAUAUCACGAAGAACCCCGAUUGCGAAGGCAGCUUACUAAACUGUGACUGACGUUGAUGCUCGAAAGUGUGGGUAUCAAACAGGAUUAGAUACCCCUGUAGUC
RNAcentral lists this ribosomal RNA (460 nucleotides) under uncultured bacterium. Its description in RNAcentral is "partial 16S ribosomal RNA". It matches the Rfam family "Bacterial small subunit ribosomal RNA", at positions 338 to 795 of the family's 1533-position model. The record is from RNAcentral.